AACUUUGCACAGUGGCAGUGUUGUAGCCAAUGAGGUUUAUCAGAGGCACAAUUAUUGCUAAUUGAAAAAUCAGUGCCCAAAUCAA
Small nuclear RNA from Suricata suricatta (meerkat), 85 nucleotides. Its record names the gene U4. It matches the Rfam family "U4 spliceosomal RNA". From Rfam's summary of the family: U4 small nuclear RNA (U4 snRNA) is a component of the major U2-dependent spliceosome. The record is from Ensembl. NCBI's taxonomy places the organism in Eukaryota, Metazoa, Chordata, Mammalia, Carnivora, Herpestidae.